AAACCACAGGAACCAGGUGGCCUAGCAACCUAGACAGACAGACAGAGGGAGUUCAGUCAGUCAGUAAUAAAAAGCUGUGGCUGUCUGGCUUCAGGGAGAAGAAAAUUGCUUGGAUGAUCACUUCAGCACUCUACUAGUCAUCACAGCAAGGGAAAUGCCCAAUGGGAACACAAAAGAAAAGGAAGAAAAAAAAAUGACCAAAAGGAAUCAAAAGAUUCCAGUGGAUUCAGAAUGGGCCAAAAUGUGAAGGCAGAGUGAUGAGAUGAGCCCUGUCAGAUUGUUUUCCGUCACCAACCGCAUCAUGACUGGAGCAGUUUUUAAGACGUCCCUUGUUGCUGUUAAACUUGCAAUGAUUUCAUAGGGUUUGAUUACUGAGAAAUGACUAUUUCAAGCCAAAGCAGAACAUUUGGCUAUAUCCCAGCAAACAGGCUGCCACUGCAGCCAAAGUACAGUCUGCAUCCACAGGGCACUUCCUUUACUAUCCAGAUUUGUUCAAAUCACUCAGAAAUAACACUGAGCAAUAGCAUUA
Meleagris gallopavo (turkey) is the source of this 529-nucleotide non-coding RNA. Lineage: Eukaryota; Metazoa; Chordata; Aves; Galliformes; Phasianidae. The record is from RefSeq and is a predicted model, not a curated record.